This is a long non-coding RNA of Homarus americanus (American lobster), 564 nucleotides long. RefSeq lists it as uncharacterized. Lineage: Eukaryota; Metazoa; Arthropoda; Malacostraca; Decapoda; Nephropidae. The transcript is spliced from 2 exons. The record is from RefSeq and is a predicted model, not a curated record.
ACAAGAGCUGGUCUGGUAGCAAGAUGUACAAUGCUGGAGAAGUACCACGACCAACACAACCUCAAAACCAACCAUUUAUUUUUCUUCUUCUUAAAAAUUAGAUGACAUUAACCAACCUGACCUAACCACACCCUAACCUAACCAAAACUAGCCUAGGGUAAAUAGGUUAUGUUUGGUUAAGUUAGUUUUAGUCAGAUCAGAUACGGUGAAGUCAGAUUUUGAUAAGGUCACAUUUGGUCAGGUUAGGUUAGGUUAGGUUAGGAUUUGGUUAGGUCAGGUCAGGUUAGAUCAUGUCAGGUCAAGUUAGGUUAGAGUAUCAGGUUAGGUUUGAUCAAGUUAGAAUAGGACAGGAUAGGUCAGGUUUGGUUAGGUUAGGUUAGGACAGGACAGGAUAGGUCAGGUUAGGUUAGGUUUAAUACACUUCCCAUCAUAUAAAAAACCUACUCCAGAGGUCAUGUUGCCAGUACUCCUCAAGCAAAUGUAAAAUCUCACCGUCUGGUCACUUAAGAUAAAAAAAAAAAAAUAUGUACAGCUGUUUCACGUGCUGUUGAAACAAUGGACAAC